GACGAACGCUGGCGGCGUGCUUAACACAUGCAAGUCGAACGGAAAGGCCCUGCUUGUGUUGGGUGCUCGAGGGGCGAACGGGUGAGUAACACGUGAGUAACCUGCCCUUGACUUGGGGAUAACUUCAGGAAACUGGGGCUAAUACCGGAUAGGAGCUCCUGCUGCAUGGUGGGGGUUGGAAAGUUUCCGCGGUUGGGGAUGGACUCGCGGCUUAUCAGCUUGUUGGUGGGGUAGUGGCUUACCAAGGCUGUGAAGGGUGGCCGGCCUGAGAGGGUGACCGGACACAUUGGGACUGAGGUACGGCCCAGACUCCUACGGGAGGCAGCAGUGGGGAAUAUUGCACAAUGGGCGGAAGCCUGAUGCAGCAACGCCGCGUGCGGGAUGACGGCCUUCGGGUUGUAAAACGCUUUCGCCUGUGACGAAGCGUGAGUGACGGUAAUGGGUAAAGAAGCACCGGCUAACUACGUG
This 468-nucleotide ribosomal RNA is filed under the name uncultured bacterium. RNAcentral describes it as "partial 16S ribosomal RNA". It matches the Rfam family "Bacterial small subunit ribosomal RNA", at positions 28 to 507 of the family's 1533-position model. The record is from RNAcentral.